Molecule: ribosomal RNA, 485 nt
Filed under: uncultured Methanosaeta sp.
Lineage: Archaea; Methanobacteriati; Methanobacteriota; Methanomicrobia; Methanotrichales; Methanotrichaceae
Description: bacterial SSU rRNA
Rfam family: Archaeal small subunit ribosomal RNA
Source: RNAcentral
UUAAAGGAAGUUGGACGGGGAGCACUACGAACGGGUGGAGCCUGACGGUUUAAUUGGAUCAACGCCGGAAAUCUCACCGGGGCGACAGCAAUAUGAAGGUCAGGCUGAAGACCUUACCCGAUUAGCUGAGAGGUGGUGCAUGGCCGUCGUCAGUUCGUACUGUGAAGCAUCCUGUUAAGUCAGGCAACGAGCGAGACCCACGUCCACAGUUGCCAGCAUACCCCUCCGGGGUGAUGGGUACACUGUGGAGACCGCCGCUGCUAAAGCGGAGGAAGGAGUGGGCAACGGUAGGUCAGUAUGCCCCGAAUCUCCCGGGCUACACGCGGGCUACAAUGGUUGGUACAAUGGGCAUCUACCCCGAAAGGGGAAGGAAAUCUCUUAAAGCCAAUCGUAGUUCGGAUUGAGGGCUGCAACUCGCCCUCAUGAAGCUGGAAUCCGUAGUAAUCGCGUUUCAACAGAACGCGGUGAAUACGUCCCUGCUCCUU